Molecule: ribosomal RNA, 478 nt
Filed under: uncultured bacterium
Lineage: Bacteria
Description: partial 16S ribosomal RNA
Rfam family: Bacterial small subunit ribosomal RNA
Source: RNAcentral
GACGAACGCUGGCGGCGUGCUUAACACAUGCAAGUCGAACGGUAAGGCCCUUCGGGGUACACGAGUGGCGAACGGGUGAGUAACACGUGGGUGAUCUGCCCUGCACUUCGGGAUAAGCCUGGGAAACUGGGUCUAAUACCGGAUAGGACUCCGGACUGCAUGGUCUGGGGUGGAAAGCUUUUGCGGUGUGGGAUGGGCCCGCGGCCUAUCAGCUUGUUGGUGGGGUGAUGGCCUACCAAGGCGACGACGGGUAGCCGGCCUGAGAGGGUGACCGGCCACACUGGGACUGGGAUACGGCCCAGACUCCUACGGGAGGCAGCAGUGGGGAAUAUUGCACAAUGGGCGCAAGCCUGAUGCAGCGACGCCGCGUGAGGGAAGACGGCCUUCGGGUUGUAAACCUCUUUCAGCAUCGACGAAGCGAAAGUGACGGUAGGUGCAGAAGAAGGACCGGCCAACUACGUGCCAGCCGCCGCUGUAA